AGGUGGUAAACUCCAUCUAAAGCUAAAUAUAACCGUGAGACCAAUAGUAAACAAGUACCGUGAGGGAAAGUUGAAAAGCACUCUGAAGAGAGAGUUAAAAGAACGUGAAAACGAUUAAGUGGAAGCAAACAGGUCUAUUUGAAGAUAUAUAGUUUUCUAUAUAUCUGCUAAUACAUAUGUAGAGCUAUUAUUAUUCUAUUUUAAGAGGACUCUAUAUGAGAACCCUUAUGAUGGUUGAACGUUGUCUCUGUAUAUGAAUAUUAGCAUUUAUGAUGGUUACCUGUUUGACCCGUCUUGAAACACGGACCAAGAAGUUUAUUGUAUACGCGAGUCAUUAAGUGUAAAAACUUAUUGGCAUAAUGAAAGUAAAGGUUUACUUGUUAAACUGAUGUAUGAUAAAGUGUUUACGGACAUUUUAGCAGUACAGUCCUAUUCUUAUGGCUUGCCAUGGAGUGGAGAUAGAGCGUAUGCAAUGAGACCCGAAAGAUGGUGAUCUAUGCUUGAGCAGGAUGAAGCCGGAGGAAACUCUGGUGGAAGUCCGUAACGGUUCUGACGUGCAAAUCGAUCGUCUGACUUGAGUAUAGGGGCGAAAGACUAAUCGAACCAUCUAGUAGCUG
This 617-nucleotide ribosomal RNA is filed under the name Nematoda sp. RS-2017. RNAcentral's name for it is "eukaryotic LSU rRNA". It matches the Rfam family "Eukaryotic large subunit ribosomal RNA", at positions 294 to 953 of the family's 3401-position model. Lineage: Eukaryota; Metazoa; Nematoda. The record is from RNAcentral.